AACCUAGCACACCUGCGGUGUGUACCUGCGGAGGGAUCAUUACCGAGUCACGUGCUCAAACAACCCUUCUGUGGACCUGAAAUAAACCGUUGCCUCGGCGGGCGGUCCCCUGCUAAAAACCUACCUGGUGUAGGCAGGGGACCAGACAGUCCGGCACGCUUGAGGCGUCCGGCGCCAGCCGCUGGCCCUAAAAAAUUAAACUCUUAGUAACCUUACCUUCUGAGUUUUAAUACAAAAAAU
This 240-nucleotide unclassified non-coding RNA is filed under the name soil metagenome. RNAcentral's name for it is "partial contains 5.8S ribosomal RNA, internal transcribed spacer 2, and large subunit ribosomal RNA". The record is from RNAcentral.